CCCUUAGAUGUUCUGGGCCGCACGCGCGCUACACUGAACAGUUCAACAAGUCUUAACCUUGGCCGAUAGGUCUGGGUAAUCUUUGAACGCUGUUCGUGAUUGGGAUAGACCUUUGCAAUUAUGGGUCUUCAACGAGGAAUUCCUAGUAAACGCAAGUCAUCAGCUUGCAUUGAUUACGUCCCUGCCCUUUGUACACACCGCCCGUCGCACCUACCGAUUGAAUGGUCCGGUGAAAUCUCGGGACGGCGGCUUGGUCGCUUGCGUCCGACUGCUGAAACUUGAUUAAACCAUAUCAUUCAGAGGAAGGUGAAGUCGUAACA
RNAcentral lists this ribosomal RNA (320 nucleotides) under uncultured eukaryote. RNAcentral describes it as "partial 18S ribosomal RNA". It matches the Rfam family "Eukaryotic small subunit ribosomal RNA", at positions 1470 to 1796 of the family's 1831-position model. The record is from RNAcentral.